GUCAGUGUGGCAUUGUGGUUUGUGUUCUGGACUAUGAUUCUGGGAGACCAGGGUUCAAAUCCCCUCUUGGCCA
Phrynosoma platyrhinos (Desert horned lizard) is the source of this 73-nucleotide non-coding RNA. Lineage: Eukaryota; Metazoa; Chordata; Lepidosauria; Squamata; Phrynosomatidae. The record is from the annotation of a GenBank genome assembly.